AGUGAACGCUGGCGGCAGGCCUAAUACAUGCAAGUCGAACGGCAGCACAGUGGAGCUUGCUCCAUGGGUGGCGAGUGGCGGACGGGUGAGGAAUACAUGGGAAUCUGCCCAGUCGUGGGGGAUAACGUAUGGAAACGUACGCUAAUACCGCAUGCGCCCUAAGGGGGAAAGCCGGGGACCGCAAGGCCUGGCGCGAUUGGAUGAGCCCAUGUUCGAUUAGCUAGUUGGCGGGGUAAAGGCCCACCAAGGCGACGAUCGAUAGCUGGUCUGAGAGGAUGAUCAGCCACACUGGAACUGAGACACGGUCCAGACUCCUACGGGAGGCAGCAGUAGGGAAUAUUGGACAAUGGGGGCAACCCUGAUCCAGCCAUGCCGCGUGAGUGAAGAAGGCCCUCGGGUUGUAAAGCUCUUUUGUCCGGAAAGAAAAGCAAUCGGUUAAUACCCGGUUGUCUGACGGUACCGGAAGAAUAAGCACCGGCUAACUUCGUGCCAGC
RNAcentral lists this ribosomal RNA (494 nucleotides) under uncultured bacterium. RNAcentral describes it as "bacterial SSU rRNA". It matches the Rfam family "Bacterial small subunit ribosomal RNA", at positions 29 to 512 of the family's 1533-position model. The record is from RNAcentral.